UCAACGAUGAAUCCGGGUCUAGAAGGCCCCAUAACCGGCACUGUACUGCACGGCUGUAUCUCUGCGUUGUGUGUGAUUGAUUGGGACUAUAGACGUGGACUUCGGAGAUCAGGCUGUUUUAAUGAAUCAGAAUUAUCUCUGCAUCCAAAAGAAAAGACAAAACAUUUGUAGAGCACAAAUAUGUUCUGCCCAUUGUCGCCUCUUUCUACAACAUAGACGCACAAUACAAAGGACUGGGAUCAGUCGAGGAGCUAGCCAUGUUCACACAUACAAUACCUUAGCUAGCUAGUAACCAUGUUAAUAUCAUCCUAAAAAUUACAAUUGCAUCUUAACAAUACCAUCCACUCAUGAGUAAACUCUAAAUAUACAACAUUAUUCAUGAACAAAACACUGUGUGUAUGACUUUGUGCUUGAAGGAAUCAAACUUUUCUAAAGAGGACAGAAAAAGCGUGCCUACCUCUCAUAGUGCAUCAACAUUAUUUGAGCACGCAGGGCAAAACGUAAGUACACACUCUCCUUUUCCCAGGAUGCAGGAAUGCAUAAUAACAAAUCAACAUGCUAUAUUAAUAUAUGAAGAUUGUGAAAUUCACAAAGUACUUUAACAACUGUUACACAGUCAGUUUCAUUAUGUUUUCAUGUGCCAUGAUUCUGACAUUUGACAUAUGAUCCUCAUAGGAUUAUGCUACAUAGUUUCAGUGUUGCAGUAAAUGUCAUCUCAAUUCAAUACGAUGUGCAUAUACAUAUAGCCAAAUAAGAUUUCCCUGAAGUUUCCUCUGGGGAAAAACAAAGUUAUUCUAUUAAACCCAUGUUCACUGACUGUAAUCUGUGACGCAAGUGGCCUAAUAUGUUUGUGACGUUCCACGGAACCCACGUUAUUGUUUUAAACUCGAUUAUGAUUGGCUUGCAGGACAUUCAACUAUGUGAGUUAUACAUUUUGAAUGUGCUUUUACGUCAGUGUGACAGAUUCACAAUACCGAGCGUUUCUCAAACGGUCCUGCGGUUUUAUCUGCCUAACGGUAUCUUCAUGCACGACUGGAUAGGCCUUUUGGAUACGCUUGUCCAAGGCCCAAGACAUAAAGUAGCCUGCAAUCAUUCCAUUGCUGACCCAUCGGAUGGUUAUCACAUAGAGGAUUGGCUUAAUCUAGAAUCAUGGAUACCUUUCAUAUCUGCGCAUCACAAGUUGGAACUAGUGGUCAAAAUUGGGACAAUGUUGCCCAAAAUAAAUGUUUUCAUGGAGUGAACAAGACCUGCCAACAGAGCUCACUGGAGCAGGGAGACAUCCCGUCAUCCCUUCGGCACCUGACAAAGUACACUUUUUUCUUCUAAAUAACACUAUAGUAACAUCUUCUGCACAAAGGUACAUUCCUAAUAAGAUUGGUGUUAAGUGAGAAAGAAUCCUAAAGAUGGUCCAAUGGGCAUUGUCUGAAGCCUCUCAUCACCUCAGUAUGUUGAACCACCUGAUUUCCUAUAGGAUUCAGAUCCUGCUGAACGAUGUUAAGCAGUCGAUUAACCACAUUCAGGGGAAGCUGAACACCAUGCAGGGGCAGUGUAUUGAGUUGCAGACUGCCAUAUCUAAGGUUGUGCCAGAUGAGUCUCAGAUACAGAAGAAUAAGUCUAUGAUGGUAUGGUGAUAAUGAUUGAGAUGGUGAUUAUAAUAAUGAUGACUAGCGGUACCCCACCCUAAAUCAUUGGAUCUGAUUAAUUCAGUUCAAUGCAAUUCAAUCUUUGAGGACUGCAACCAUAGAAAUACAAUUUAUUUAUGCUACUAAUAAGCUAUUGUCAACUUCCCAUCUAUGGUUAUUUUGCUCACUGCUCACUGUGAAUUGCUCACUGUUACCCUUUGUGUGCAACUAUUAUUGAUUUCUCUCAGAAAAAUAAUUUGGUUGCAAAUGUAACUGGGGCCAUGUAAAUAAUUGUUAGGCUACUCAUUUUGAAUCCAUUGGUGGCAACGUGUGGGACCAUAAAAGUCUGUGUGCGACUGGGCACAGUAAAACAAUUUGGUUGCUGACCUGCCCUACAUCAUAGAAGGCCCCUCACCAUAUGCCGCAUUCAAGUGCAAGUCGGAACUAGGAAACUCUGACAUUUCUGAUCCCAAGUUUCCCACGUGUGAAGUAUCAGAAUCAACCAAUAGGAAGCUCUACGCAAAUAACUUAUAUUCAUUUUAACUCUGAGGUUCCAAGUUUCCGAUAGUACGUGAAUGCGUCAAUAAUUGCCAUGGUAAUUUUUAAUGUUCAGUUAGUGAGCAUUAUGGGUAAUUGUCCUACAUACUUACAUCAAAUGCUUUAUGACAGCAUCAUCUCCUGUAGUUAAGAGUGCCAUUCCAAAGACAUAUUUUUUUAAAUAAACAAAAAUACAAAACACAGCGGAAUAUGCCUAAAAUGAAGAACAUCCACUCAAAAUUGUAGAAGGAGAUCCCCCGCAGCAAAGAGGCUUACGGUAUUAUAAUAUAUUGUAGAUAACAUUAAUGUAAUUUGUGUAUUUACAGUAUCAGUACACGUACAAAUGAAUGUACAUGUUUGGGAUUG
This is a long non-coding RNA of Coregonus clupeaformis (lake whitefish), 2525 nucleotides long. RefSeq lists it as uncharacterized. NCBI's taxonomy places the organism in Eukaryota, Metazoa, Chordata, Actinopteri, Salmoniformes, Salmonidae. The record is from RefSeq and is a predicted model, not a curated record. The transcript is spliced from 4 exons.